AGAGUUUGAUCCUGGCUCAGAUUGAACGCUGGCGGCAGGCCUAACACAUGCAAGUCGAGCGGAUGAGUGGAGCUUGCUCCAUGAUUCAGCGGCGGACGGGUGAGUAAUGCCUAGGAAUCUGCCUGGUAGUGGGGGACAACGUUUCGAAAGGAACGCUAAUACCGCACACGUCCUACGGGAGAAAGUGGGGGAUCUUCGGACCUCACGCUAUCAGAUGAGCCUAGGUCGGAUUAGCUAGUUGGUGAGGUAAAGGCUCACCAAGGCGACGAUCCGUAACUGGUCUGAGAGGAUGAUCAGUCACACUGGAACUGAGACACGGUCCAGACUCCUACGGGAGGCAGCAGUGGGGAAUAUUGGACAAUGGGCGAAAGCCUGAUCCAGCCAUGCCGCGUGUGUG
Molecule: ribosomal RNA, 397 nt
Filed under: uncultured bacterium
Lineage: Bacteria
Description: bacterial SSU rRNA
Rfam family: Bacterial small subunit ribosomal RNA
Source: RNAcentral